This 4828-nucleotide long non-coding RNA is filed under the name Sus scrofa (pig). RNAcentral describes it as "lncRNA (ENSSSCG00000060125.1)". Lineage: Eukaryota; Metazoa; Chordata; Mammalia; Artiodactyla; Suidae. The record is from RNAcentral.
CUUCUACUUCCGUGUCUGCAUUAAAGUCAUAGCACCUCCUUCCAACCCCAUCGCAUAUUCUCAUAUCACUUUCAUCAUUAAUGAGCAGUGUUAGGUUCCAGAUGGUUUCAGGCCUUGAUCUGUUGGUGCACUGGCAGACCCUGGCUGUGUUAAGUUUUGAAAUGUUCUUAUCUAGAAGUUUCAAUGAGAACCUCUGUUUUUGCCACUUGCUCUAAUUCCAGUCACUCCCAGGAUCUGCUACUCUGAGACUUUUCGGGAACUCUUUACAGACCCAAGUUGCCCCAGCUCAAAGGAUGAGUUUGGAUAUGCCUGGAGCUUGAGUCCAAAAGGCACAAGAAUACUGUAUACUAAAAGAAAAAAUAGAGAGAGGACCACAAUAGAGGCACCACCUUUUGAAAAAGAUCUGGAAAAGCAACCUCAAUGUGGAUAUCAGAGCACAUGAGUUCCAGAAUCAGCAAAUGCUGACUUAAGCAGCCAGGGAAAACAGGGGCUGCUCCACAUCAUUUCAACCUCAUAUCUGUAUUUUAAGGAGUCAUUAUUAACUCUAUGUAUAAUGAAGGCAUUGAAACUCAGAAAGGUUUCAUGACUUUCUUAAGGUCACACAUUUAUUGCAGAUUCGAAACUUGAACUCAUAACUCUUGAGUCUUUGUUACUAACUGACUCUCAUAACCAAAAGAACAGCAUUAAAAUCUUUCUUUGACCAAAAUUAAAACCACUCACCUUUAAGUUAAAAAUGCCUUAUAAUCACUAGGAUCUUUUCUUUUCAAUGACUGUGGUUGUCCGUAGUUUUCAGGAUAAAGUUCAAUGUUCUCUCCUUAAGCCACAAGUCUCUCCAUUGCCUUUCUUCCUACUCCUUUGCCGUCCUCUCUCCUAAUCCUCAGAAGCAUGUCUUACUCUAUGCACUACCCUCCACCCUAGACAGUAAUUGCAAUUUUCCCAGUAUACAUGCUACUCCUCCAUAUCACUUCUCCCCUUUAUUUAUACACUGAACUCAAAUAUAUCUUUAAUAAUUAACUCUAUGGUCUCAUCUUCUGAAAAGCCGACUUUGACUCCAGCUUAAUUUAGAUGCCUCUCCUCUGCCCCCCACACACCAUGGGGACCACCCUUAGAGCAAUUCUUCAUAAUAACCCACUGACUUGCUUUCCUCCUUCACCAGAUUCAGAAUGUCCUAAGAACAAAACUACCUUGAAGUUGUCUUGUAUCCUCAGCAUCUAUCCCAGCAACUGAAGCAUAAAAAGUGAUUAAAAAAAUAAAUGAUUCUGAAUGAGUAAAUUAUUAAACCAAGAUGGAUCAGGAAUGACUAAAAAGACAAAAGGGGGAUAAUCUCUAUUUGAGAAGUCAAAUUCUUUCAGCCACAGAUUUUACCCACCUGUACAAUUUUCCAUGUCACUCCCUGCUGUCCUCUUCCAACUCCUCCCAUCUUAGUCUAGGAGGGAUAUUUUCUAGUAUAAGACAUUUCCUGUAAGAAUAUACUAUAAGUAAAAUUUCUAUUGAAAUUGCAGACUGCCAGGUCUGCAACCAUGAGCCAUGAGCAAGUCCCUGGCAAAAAUGGAAAGAAGAAAUCUACAGAGGGGAAAGAAAGUUUGGGGGUUCCUAUUGUAAACACAGAAUCCAUGGCUUUCCAUUGGCUGAGUCUCCACAGGCUCUCCUUGGAAGCUCUUGCCAGGAAGGAAGAGGAAGUUCUUUUUUGUCACUUUGGGCUCUGCCUAUCAUCACAGAGCACGAGAGCUCCCUCUUCUGGUCUCCCAACUCUAUUUGAUUGAAUUUUCUGUUUAUUCAUUUUUGACCACCCAUUUAUGAUUAUCUUUGGCAUGUUAAAGUUUGAUAUUAUGCUCUCAACUUUCACUGACAAUUGCUAUGAAAAAUAACCCCCCAAACUCACUGCUGAUCCUAUGACGAUAUUAGGAAGUUCUUAGAAAGAUUAGCUCUGGAAGAGCUUAAUUUUUCCUAAAUAGAUUGUAUCCUUUUUCCACUUUUGCAAUAUAAGCUAUGUAACCAGUAUAGUUUCAUAUUCAUUUUAUUUCCUAGGAACUUUAGAGUCAAAUUUCUUGUAAAAUCAUAGCAACUCUAUAAGUCCUCUGGUUUGCAAAUUUAAAUUUUUAUUUUCCUUUCUGGUCUCUACUUCAACAAUGUUUUUUGAGAGCUUAUUGCAUGCAUGGAACUAUUCUGGGGGCUUAGUGUAUAUUAAUUAACAAAACAGAAUUAAAAUUCUACCCUCAUGAAACUUAUCCAGUAUAGAGAUAUAUAAUUUUUAUGUAAAUCAUACAAACUAAUUCCAAAAUUAAUGCCAUACAUAUGAUUUAAAGUUGAUGUUUACAUUUAUUCAAUACCUGUUCCUUCUUUUAUAAUGCAUUUAUUAUAAAUAUAUUUCUCAGCUAAAUUUUGUAAAUGCUGACAUUCACAGAUUUGAAACCUAUAAGAAAAACAUAAAAUGUUGGUGGAAUUAAAAUCACCACAUUUCAGACUUUCUUAAAUAAUGGUAAUAGAAAAUUUAUAGGCAGAUUCCGUAAUCCCUAAUCAGCGUUUUCUAACACAUUAGCAGUUGGUGUCUGAAAUCUGACAUUUACUGUGAAUGAGUGCCUGACAGCUUUUGUUGUAAGUUUGGGCUUUUUUGCUUAGUAAUUUGCUCCCUGCUAUCUAAGGGGAGGGAACUUUACUUCCCAAGAUGCCCUGCAAGGUGUCAAUAUCAGAUUUCCAACCCAUCCCAGAGCUCACUGUUCCCCACCAAUACCAGCUACUCUGACCUGAAAGUUUCCUUGUUCGGAGUCAGAUAUGACUUGCCCAAGGAUUGGAGGGCUUCUUCUGAGAUGUCCCUGACAGUCUUCAGAAACAUCAAGAGAGUCUCUUUUUUUGUUAAGGCCUUACAGAGACAGCCAAAGAAUCACUGAAGCUGAAUGUACUUCAUGAACUAAGGAUAUACAGCUUGCAAUGCAUUUAACAAAAGCACCAUGGGCAUUGGAUUGUACAUACUAUGCAAUGGGAACCUGGUACCUAUGUCCCAUUCAACUUCCCAAAAGGGUUACAGCAAACCUUUAGAGUGAGGUAGCUAAGUAAGUGAGAUCCACUGUAUCUAUCAUUUCUCCUGUCAUUGCUUAAACUCUUCUCCUGGGCCUCAUGCUUCCCUUGUCUUACUGCCAGACAUUCUGUGAGAGGGUCUGACCAAAAGGGGACUGACUUAAAAAUGUACCCCAUUAUUGGGACAAAAACUGAAAAUCCAUUCACUAAACCUGACACUAUCUACCCCAUCUCUAUUUAACUAUUUCACUCUUAAUACCAUAUAGGCUGCACAUGCAACAGUGGUAUCUAAUCCAGCCUAAUCUGUCAAGCAAGAUGAGUGGAUUACUACUAAAUAUGCAAACUAGACAGAGAAUGACUAAAGAAUAUGGAUGGAAAAAAUGGCAGGGACUUAGACCUCCUACCAGUUUCCUCUUGUUUGUGUGCUCAUAGGAUAUCGUCACCUGUUGGCUCAGAGAGCAGUGUUCCUUUGUUUUGUUUUUUAUAUAUUGAAAAAUGUGACUUUUAUACUACACUGAAGGAAAGAGUAGCCUCCCCACUUCACCACUUAUGUAUGUAAUUCAUUUUCUUUUGAUAAAUAUACCACAUUCCUGACAGCUUAUUUUCAUUUUCUUUCAGGAAGUUGGCAGGAAAAUGUGCUCUGAAGUUACUGAUACACGAAACAUCAUCAACAAAUCUCAAAUGCAUGGUACUAGACAAAAGAAGCCCCUCCCCAAAGACUGUAUACUACCAUAUGAAUUCAGGCAUACAAUAUUCAGGAAAAGGUGAAACUAAAAAAAAUGAGAACAAAUCAUAGUAUUCAGGGUUGAGAGGUGGGUGCUGGACUUGCCUAGAAAGAAACUUAAUGGGGGAAUUUUGACAUAGAAACAGAGAUGAACCUGUCAUGACUUUAGGAGUCGUUGCAUGACUCUGCAUAUCUAUCAAAAUCUACAGAAUUGUACAGCCAGGAAUGGUUUUGGUUUAUGUAAAAUAAAACAAUAAAUAAAUAGCAAAGUCCAUGUGAUGAAAAGAACUCCAGAUACAUGUCUAAUAAGUAUGAAUUUGCCAUGCUACUUAAGACACAUAUUUAUACUUAUUAACCUUUAGACUUACGAUGUCCAAAACUAUACUAUAAUUUUGAUAAGAUUGAUUCAAGUAUUUAAAUAACCUAUAAUCAUAGAUACAUAGUAUCUAAAAGUUGUAAAGAAUCUUGAGGGUAAUUUACCAUUAGAUUAGAAGAUCAAGAAAAACAUAUAUUCAUUGAAAUAGAUUCAGAAAAAUCCUCUGAUGACAUCUAACUACCAAUCUUAACCAGGAAAAAAAAAAGACAAAAAUCCUCUCAGCACACAGGCAUAGAAAGGAACAACCCACCAUCUAAUGAACCACAUCUGCAAAAACCGAUAAGCUAACAUCCUACUUGACAGUAAAAGACUGAAUGUUUUCCCCUAAGAUGAGGAGUAAAUCAAGGGACCACUUCGGACCACUUCUGGUUAACAGUUUGCUGGAUGUUCUACCCAGAAAUAUGAGGAAAUUAUCUUUUUUUUUUUUUCAUGGCUAUUUACCAAAAUCUACAUUUUAAAUAUGUGUGGGGUUUUUAUACAUCAGAUAUAACUCAGUAAAGCUUUAGAAAAUUACUGAUUUAAGUACAGUCCCUUCACCUACUGUGAACCAAAGCCUAAUCAAGUUCUUAGACUCCACAGUCUGACAACACUGGAUCUUAGAAAUAGCCAGGAAGUCAGGAAGUCAUUAGGUAGAGACAGGCCUGAUGGGUUGUUUUUUGUUUGUUUGUUUGUUUGUUGGCUUUGGUGCAGCGGGGGUGCUGAAAUUAUCUUAU